Molecule: long non-coding RNA, 282 nt
Filed under: Mytilus galloprovincialis (Mediterranean mussel)
Lineage: Eukaryota; Metazoa; Mollusca; Bivalvia; Mytilida; Mytilidae
Source: RNAcentral
AUACAUUUACGAUCCCUUUCAAUACGAAAUUUAGCUCUCGUUCUCAACAUUCCAUCUAAACAUGCAUACGUGUAAAAUAUGAACUAUUGGACAGUUAUUGCACAAUUAAUAAAGAAAGAUAUAGGACUGACCUUAUAUAAGAAACUCCAAUCACAGAAUUGUUAUUGCAUAGAUUAAUUUCUAAAGUUGUUAAUUUGCAGACAGGUAAAUAUAUGUGUUGACCACAUGAUGUCUUCCCAUAAGAUAUAGAACAAAAGAAUUAAACCGCCAAAAGUACUGACC